CACGUAGGGGGCGAGCGUUGUUCGGAUUUACUGGGCGUAAAGGGCACGUAGGCGGUCUGAUAAGCCUGACGUGAAAGGCUAUGGCUCAACCAUGGCACUGCGUUGGGAACUGUCGGACUUGAAUCAUGGAGAGGGAGCUGGAAUUCCAGGUGUAGGGGUGAAAUCUGUAGAUAUCUGGAAGAACACCAAUGGCGAAGGCAAGCUCCUGGCCAAUGAUUGACGCUGAGGUGCGAAAGUGUGGGGAUCAAACAGGAUUAGAGACCCUGGUAGUCCACACUGUCAACGAUGUGCACUAGGUGCUGGGACGGACGUUUCAGUGCCGGAGCUAACGCGGUAAGUGCACCGCCUGGGGAGUAUGCUCGCAAGGGUGAA
Molecule: ribosomal RNA, 372 nt
Filed under: uncultured bacterium
Lineage: Bacteria
Description: bacterial SSU rRNA
Rfam family: Bacterial small subunit ribosomal RNA
Source: RNAcentral